Molecule: non-coding RNA, 28 nt
Filed under: Homo sapiens (human)
Lineage: Eukaryota; Metazoa; Chordata; Mammalia; Primates; Hominidae
Source: RNAcentral
UCCCAGAGGGUGAGAGCAAAUCCUGGGC